This 1573-nucleotide long non-coding RNA is filed under the name Zea mays. RNAcentral describes it as "long non-coding RNA (ZMAY_LNC004154)". The record is from RNAcentral. Lineage: Eukaryota; Viridiplantae; Streptophyta; Magnoliopsida; Poales; Poaceae.
CUAAAUAGCCGCUAUUAGCCGGCUAUUUAAAACUUUGCGCCUCCUCCUGGGACCACGCCAUGGAGGCGAAGAGGAGGAGGAUUGUAUGGGCGUUGGGCAAUGCCGGCAGCACCAUGCAUGGAUGAGAAGUAGGCAGCAAGCGGGAGACAGAUCUCGGCAAGGCUGGUGUGCGUAUGGGCAGAUCCUGUUUCUUUCUCUUGUCCCCUUUCCUCAGUUAGCCUAAUUUGGUUCCUAUGUUUCUGUCAAAUUGGCUUUCUGAUGUUUAUCCAAGACUAGUAGAAAAAUUCAAAGUGAGGGGAAAGCAAAUGGCCGUGCUUAAUUAUUCAAAGGCUAGUUUCUUGCCUGUUCAGGUCAGCUGUUGCCAACAUAUGCUUAUGUUUUUGUUGUUCGAUGGAAGUUAAUGCAUACAAAGUUUUUACUUCUUUUUACUUUCCUACUAAUUUGAGAAGUGUUGACUACAAAAAACAAUCAUUUCUCUCCCACUAUUGUUUCUUCUGUGUGGAACUUCUUUUUUACUUUCCUACCAUCGAUGAACCUCACCCAAUAGCUGUUGGUCCGAUGGAGCUCUACCUCCAUGCCAUUUCAGUCCACUCUGAUAUGCUCCACUAGAUAAAAGGAUGAUGUUGUUUAUUAGAUUCUUUCUAAAAAACUGAACUGUAGGAGAGUUGCAUGUCCUAUUAAAAAGAGGAUGGUCAUGACGAAUAAAGUACAAAAAAUAAAAACCAAAGACUCUCCGCACAGUGGCAAAUUUUUCUGUUAGUUGUAGCAGCUGAGAAAUAUUCUUUUGGCUGGAUGCUGAAAUUUUUGUUGUUCUUCCUGAAGACUAGAGUUACUCAGUUAGAAGAAGAUGUGAAAUGUGGAUUAGUUGGAGUGGUUUCUAUUGUUUUUUGGCUGGAACCCGUUUUGGUACCCUUACUGCAUAGUUGCAGUUGAUUAUGAAUGGACAUAGUUCCCGAAGCGUGCAACAGGGUUCCUGAUAUUCUAGUCAUUAAUCAUGAAUGGACACAAUUCCCUUAUAGAGCCAUUAACAUGUACCAAUUGUAUCCAGCAGUAGCGUCUAAGUGCAAAGAUAUACAAGGUUGGGAGUGCUAUUGUUUGCAGAGGUAUUGUCAACGAAGGUCACUCCAUUGAGACCAAAAACUGAUGUUACCAUCGGUGAUGCUACGGAAGAGUAAUCAUGUUUGCUAGCUUUCUGUGUCUGUGGCCGGUCUUCCAGAGUUUGAUGGGGAAAAUGAGCAAAGAAGGAAUAUUUUUCUGUCAUUGAGGUCUUAUGUAAUCUAAAGUAUAGUGCUUUCAUAAUGUUGAUGAAUUUUUUUUGUUGCGUCUCAUGGAACAUGCAAGUCUAGAGGAAGGGGAAGGCAAGACCAAGACCUUGGGUUGCACCAGAAUGAAUAUGAUGAUUUUUUUGUAAUUUAGAUGCAUGAAUGGAGAUGAUUUUUUAUGAUUUGGAGAAUUAAAUUAUGACGCUUUAAGUUAUCUAUCUUGAUGCAUGUCAUGUACGGCCACACAUACGCAUACGCCAGGCGUAGGAGAGCCCGCGAUGUGCGCUGAGCUGAGCAGGCAGCAAAGGCAC